RNAcentral lists this ribosomal RNA (305 nucleotides) under uncultured bacterium. RNAcentral describes it as "bacterial SSU rRNA". It matches the Rfam family "Bacterial small subunit ribosomal RNA", at positions 29 to 335 of the family's 1533-position model. The record is from RNAcentral.
AGUGAACGCUGGCGGCAUGCCUAACUCAUGCAAGUCGAACGGUAACAGGCCCGCAAGGGUGCUGACGAGUGGCGGACGGGUGAGGAAUACAUCGGAAUUUGCCCAGUCGUGGGGGAUAACGUAGGGAAACUUACGCUAAUACCGCAUACGACCCAACGGUGAAAGCGGGGGAUCGCAAGACCUCGCGCGAGUGGAUGAGCCGAUGUCGGAUUAGCUAGUUGGCGGGGUAAAGGCCCACCAAGGCGACAAUCCGUAGCUGGUCUGAGAGGAUGAUCAGCCACACUGGGACUGAGACACGGCCCAGA